CCAUUAGUUGCCGACGACUUAGAACACAAGAACAUUUUAUUCAGGGGUCCUACACAUUAACGCCAAAUAUAUGUAUUAAAGAAGACAAAGGCAGACGGCUUGUAAUGUAGGUUAAAACAAGGGCCACUAUCACGUGAAAAGGGUUGCACAGUUUGAUAUCACAAGACUGACUGACAUUACUGUAUUCUGUUUGUAUUUCACAUACUUUUUCUGAUAUCAAUAUAAUUAUCAUAUGAUGAAAAGAUUUAAAAGAGUGUGUCAACAGAAUGCGCAGUUUUAUCUUUACUCCAUAUAGUUAUGUUCCUCACUGUGCUAUUGUGUUUACCCAGUUGAGACAUAAACCUUUAUGCGAAUGGAAGAUUUCCAGUUGAAGACCGUUUAACGCCAAAAGUUUAUUUUGUUGGAAGAGUUUCAGAGUUCAAUUUGUGUUACAUUGGAACUGCGUCACAAGCCUACCAUGCAACACCCAGACCCACAUUAAAGAAUUGAACUGAUGUAGGAGUACACUCAUGUAAUGUUGAAAACACUCUGUGUGUGGAGUAUGGGAUUCGAAGUCUAUCAUACUAGAGUCGAGUCAGCAGUGUGUUGUGUUGUGAUUGUGAACAUUAAUGUGCUGCAUAGCGGGACAGCAAGGUGGAGAAUGAUUAUUUAAGUAAUAUAACAAUUAUGUUGUAAAUCGUGUAUCUGUGGAAGUAAUACUUCAUUAAUUUGUCAUCAUAAAGUCUAUUCAUCUCAUUAAACAGUUAUAUUGUUAAUAUCUCGUUGACUGUUUAUUGCAAGCACGAAGGUGCCUGUUGAAUGUCAGGGGCCCGGGCAAACGAGCUAAGGCUGUAACACAUCCCUGACAAUUGCACACAGUCCCCCAUAACUCACCUCUUCGAACUGACAUCUUCGCAGUGACCUUGAUUGAAUAUUGACAAACCUGUUGGCUAGAUUCUCUCCCCUUUCUAUUUAAAGUCAAUGUAGAAGUACAUAGUAGUUCUAACAAAUAGUACAGUGGUUUUGCAGUACAAACUGAAUUAUAAAUUAGCUUUUGGCUUAACAGGCGAUUUUGCGAUUUUCGCAAGAAGUAGAAUAGACUAGUGACUAAUUGUACUCGCGUAGGAGGUAAUCCUCUUCUAUCUUGAAGGGACGUUUGUAAUUUCUAAGUAGAUUAGUUCUAUAGGCAUCUAGAAUCUAGAGCUUCUAUCUAGAUCUCGUAUGUAUGAGAUUCGAUGGAUCUAAUAAAGGCUUUUUUUAUUUUUCAUUUUUAGACUAACUUACUCUUUGGCGAGAGAAAAUAAUCAACAAUUAUUAAACAAAACUUUAAUAUGAUAAUUGUAUCACUUGUUUGUAAAUACGAAUCGUUUUAAUAGUUUUAGAAAUCAGUGUUAUAGAAAUUGUAUCUAGGCAAGUGCGUGUUUACGUAGGUUUGCUAUGUGUAGUUUCCAACUGGUGAUUGUGGCCUUUAAUUAUUUUUAAUUUUCUUUUGAAUUUAUAUUUGAUGUUUAUUCAAAAGUUAUUUGUUUUUUAAUCUUAGGAAAUGAAAUAUUGUUACAAGAUGA
Long non-coding RNA from Biomphalaria glabrata, 1544 nucleotides. RefSeq lists it as uncharacterized. Lineage: Eukaryota; Metazoa; Mollusca; Gastropoda; Planorbidae. The record is from RefSeq and is a predicted model, not a curated record. The transcript has 3 exons.